RNAcentral lists this non-coding RNA (110 nucleotides) under Erwinia pyrifoliae. RNAcentral describes it as "antisense sRNA RprA". It matches the Rfam family "RprA RNA". From Rfam's summary of the family: Translational regulation of the stationary phase sigma factor RpoS is mediated by the formation of a double-stranded RNA stem-loop structure in the upstream region of the rpoS messenger RNA, occluding the translation initiation site. Clones carrying rprA (RpoS regulator RNA A) increased the translation of RpoS. The rprA gene encodes a 106 nucleotide regulatory RNA. The record is from RNAcentral. Lineage: Bacteria; Pseudomonadati; Pseudomonadota; Gammaproteobacteria; Enterobacterales; Erwiniaceae.
AAGUUUUGAAAUCUACCCACUGAUUUUGAAUUAACAGACUUACCCCUGAGUUAACUAAAGAAUUGCUGUGUGUAGUCUUUGCCCAUCCACUGUGAUGGGCUUUUUUUUGC